RNAcentral lists this ribosomal RNA (464 nucleotides) under uncultured bacterium. Its description in RNAcentral is "bacterial SSU rRNA". It matches the Rfam family "Bacterial small subunit ribosomal RNA", at positions 329 to 792 of the family's 1533-position model. The record is from RNAcentral.
UACCAGACUCCUACGGGAGGCAGCAGUGGGGAAUAUUGCACAAUGGGGGAAACCCUGAUGCAGCGACGCCGCGUGAGUGAAGAAGCGUUUCGGCGCGUAAAGCUCUGUCAGCGGGGAAGAAACACGGUUCGCGAGAGCCGCGGACGGUACCCGACCAAGAAGCCCCGGCUAACUACGUGCCAGCAGCCGCGGUAAUACGUAGGGGGCAAGCGUUAUCCGGAUUUACUGGGUGUAAAGGGAGCGUAGACGGUUAUGCAAGUCUGGAGUGAAAGGCGGGGGCUCAACCCCCGGACUGCUCUGGAAACUGUAGAACUAGAGUGCAGGAGGGGUAAGUGGAAUUCCUAGUGUAGCGGUGAAAUGCGUAGAUAUUAGGAGGAACACCAGUGGCGAAGGCGGCUUACUGGACUGUAACUGACGUUGAGGCUCGAAAGCGUGGGGAGCAAACAGGAUUAGAUACCCUCGUA